AUGUAUACCCACAUACACUCCGGUUCCUGCGCUCCGGGCGCACCCGGCUGAUGACCGCUCGCUACGAUUUCUAGAC
Molecule: small RNA, 76 nt
Filed under: Thiobacillus denitrificans
Lineage: Bacteria; Pseudomonadati; Pseudomonadota; Betaproteobacteria; Nitrosomonadales; Thiobacillaceae
Description: Xanthomonas sRNA sX9
Rfam family: Xanthomonas sRNA sX9
Source: Rfam by way of RNAcentral